UACGGAGGGUACAAGCAUUAAUCGGAUUUACUGGGCGUAAAGGGUGCGUAGGCGGAUAGGAAAGUUAGAUGUGAAAUUCCAGUACUCAAUACUGGAGCUGCAUUUAAAACUCCCUUUCUCGAGGAUAGACGGAGAGAACGGAAUUCCAUGUGUAGCGGUGAAAUGCGUAGAUAUAUGGAAGAACACCUGUGGCGUAAGCGGUUCUCUAGUUUAUUUCUGACGCUGAGGCACGAGAGUGUGGGGAGCAAACAGG
Molecule: ribosomal RNA, 253 nt
Filed under: uncultured bacterium
Lineage: Bacteria
Also listed under: 1 other name
Description: partial 16S ribosomal RNA
Rfam family: Bacterial small subunit ribosomal RNA
Source: RNAcentral